AGUGGAUGGGGAGCAACCUAGUUGUGCGUGUGUAAAGGUAGUGCCAAGAAAAGCGAUGAUCAUGUUGAAAAUCAAUUCCCGGUACCCGAAACCGACACAGGUGGGCAAGUAGAGAAUACUAAGGGGCGCGAGGUAACUCUCUCCAAGGAACUCGGCAAAAUGACCCCGUAACUUAGGGAGAAGGGGUGCCACCGAGAGGUGGUCGCAGUGAAGAGGCCCAGGCGACUGUUUAGCAAAAACAUAGGUCUCUGCAAACUCGAAAGAGGAGGUAUAGGGGCUGACGCCUGCCCAGUGCCGGAAGGUUAAAGAAGUUGGUCAGUCUUAGGAUGAAGCUAGCGACUGAAGCCCCGGUGAACGGCGGCCGUAACUAUAACGGUCCUAAGGUAGCGAAAUUCCUUGUCGGGUAAGUUCCGACCCGCACGAAAGGCGUAACGAUCUGGGCGCUGUCUCGGAGAGAGGCUCGGCGAAAUAGGAUUGUCUGUGAAGAUACGGACUACCUGCAUUUGGACAGAAAGACCCUAUGAAGCUUUACUAUAGCUUGGAAUUGUGUUCGGGCUUCCUGUGCGCAGGAUAGGUGGGAGGCGUAGAAGGUAUUCUUGUGGGGAUACUGGAGCCAACGGUGAGAUACCACUCUCAGGAGGCUAGAAUUCUAACUUAAUUAAGGACAGUUUCAGGUGGGUAGUUUGACUGGGGCGGUCGCCUCCAAAAAGGUAACGGAGGCGUACAAAGGUUCCCUCAGACUGGUUGGAAAUCAGUCGAAGAGUGCAAAGGCAGAAGGGAGCUUGACUGCGAGAAGUACAGUUCGAGCAGGGUGGAAACACGGUCUUAGUGAUCCGACGGUGCUGUGUGGAAGGGCCGUUGUUCAACGGAUAAAAGUUACUCUAGGAUAACAGGCUGAUCUCCCCCAAGAGUUCACAUCGACGGGGAGGUUUGGCACCUCGAUGUCGGCUCAUCGCAACCUGGGGCGGAAGUACGUCCCAAGGGUUGGGCUGUUCGCCCAUUAAAGCGGUACGUGAGCUGGGUUCAGAACGUCGUGAGACAGUUCGGUCCAUAUCCGAUGUAGGCGUGAGAAUAUUGAGAGGAGCCUUCCUUAGUACGAGAGGACCGGGAAGGACGCACCGCUGGUGUACCUGUUAUGAUGCCAAUUGUAAACGCAGGGUAGCCAAGUGCGGAGAGGAUAACCGCUGAAAGCAUCUAAGUGGGAAGCCCACCUCAAGAUGAGUAUUCUGGUGUAAGGUCACGGGAAGACGACCCGUAAAUAGGCACGAGGUGGAAGUGCAGAGAUGUAUGAAGCCGAAGUGUACUAAUAGACCGUCGGCUUGACC
This 1325-nucleotide ribosomal RNA is filed under the name metagenome. RNAcentral's name for it is "bacterial LSU rRNA". It matches the Rfam family "Bacterial large subunit ribosomal RNA", at positions 1561 to 2925 of the family's 2925-position model. The record is from RNAcentral.